RNAcentral lists this ribosomal RNA (969 nucleotides) under uncultured bacterium. Its description in RNAcentral is "bacterial SSU rRNA". It matches the Rfam family "Bacterial small subunit ribosomal RNA", at positions 28 to 1011 of the family's 1533-position model. The record is from RNAcentral.
GACGAACGCUGGCGGCGUGCUUUAUACAUGCAAGUCGAACGAUGAAGUUCCUUCGGGAAUGGAUUAGUGGCGAACGGGUGAGGAACACGUGAGAAACCUGCCUUUCAUUCUGGGAUAACACCGGGAAACCGGUGCUAAUACCGGAUACCCCAUCUUGGCGGCAUCGCCGAGCUGGGAAAAAUUUUGAUGAAAGAUGGUCUCGCGGCCUAUCAGCUAGUUGGUGAGGUAAAGGCUCACCAAGGCGACGACGGGUAGCCGGCCUGAGAGGGCGACCGGCCACACUGGGACUGAGACACGGCCCAGACUCCUACGGGAGGCAGCAGUAGGGAAUAUUGGGCAAUGGGCGAAAGCCUGACCCAGCGACGCCGCGUGAGGGAUGAAGGUCUUCGGAUUGUAAACCUCUUUCAGUAGGGAAGAAGCGAAAGUGACGGUACCUAAAGAAGAAGCACCGGCUAACUAUGUGCCAGCAGCCGCGGUAAUACAUAGGGUGCAAGCGUUGUCCGGAAUUAUUGGGCGUAAAGAGCUCGUAGGUCGUUUGUCGCGUCGAUUGUGAAAAUCUGAGGCUCAACCUCAGACCUGCAGUCGAUACGGGCAAACUAGAGUGUGGUAGGGGAGACUGGAAUUCCUGGUGUAGCGGUGGAAUGCGCAGAUAUCAGGAGGAACACCAAUGGCGAAGGCAGGUCUCUGGGCCAUAACUGACACUGAGGAGCGAAAGUGCGGGGAGCGAACAGGAUUAGAUACCCUGGUAGUCCGCACCGUAAACGGUGGGCACUAGUUGUGGGAACCUUCCACGGUUUCCGCGACGCAGCAAACGCAUUAAGUGCCCCGCCUGGGGAGUACGAUCGCAAGAUUAAAACUCAAAGGAAUUGACGGGGCCCCGCACAAGCAGCGGAGCAUGCGGCUUAAUUCGACGCAACGCGAAGAACCUUACCAAGGCUUGACAUAUAGUGAAAAGUGGCAGAGAUGUCA